CGACGAACUCUUCGGAGUUAGUGGCGGACGGGUGAGUAACACGUGGGAACGUGCCUUUAGGUUCGGAAUAACUCAGGGAAACUUGUGCUAAUACCGAAUGUGCCCUUCGGGGGAAAGAUUUAUCGCCUUUAGAGCGGCCCGCGUCUGAUUAGCUAGUUGGUGAGGUAAAGGCUCACCAAGGCGACGAUCAGUAGCUGGUCUGAGAGGAUGAUCAGCCACAUUGGGACUGAGACACGGCCCAAACUCCUACGGGAGGCAGCAGUGGGGAAUCUUGCGCAAUGGGCGAAAGCCUGACGCAGCCAUGCCGCGUGAAUGAUGAAGGUCUUAGGAUUGUAAAAUUCUUUCACCGGGGACGAUAAUGACGGUACCCGGAGAAGAAGCCCCGGCUAACUUCGUGCCAGCAGCCGCGGUAAUACGAAGGGGGCUAGCGUUGCUCGGAAUUACUGGGCGUAAAGGGAGCGUAGGCGGACAUUUAAGUCAGGGGUGAAAUCCCGGGGCUCAACCUCGGAAUUGCCUUUGAUACUGGGUGUCUUGAGUAUGAGAGAGGUGUGUGGAACUCCGAGUGUAGAGGUGAAAUUCGUAGAUAUUCGGAAGAACACCAGUGGCGAAGGCGACACACUGGCUCAUUACUGACGCUGAGGCUCGAAAGCGUGGGGAGCAAACAGGAUUAGAUACCCUGGUAGUCCACGCCGUAAACGAUGAUUGCUAGUUGUCGGGAUGCAUGCAUUUCGGUGACGCAGCUAACGCAUUAAGCAAUCCGCCUGGGGAGUACGGUCGCAAGAUUAAACUCAGGAAU
RNAcentral lists this ribosomal RNA (796 nucleotides) under Caulobacteraceae bacterium. Its description in RNAcentral is "bacterial SSU rRNA". It matches the Rfam family "Bacterial small subunit ribosomal RNA", at positions 64 to 910 of the family's 1533-position model. Lineage: Bacteria; Pseudomonadati; Pseudomonadota; Alphaproteobacteria; Caulobacterales; Caulobacteraceae. The record is from RNAcentral.